AGCGCAGAGACAGGUGGUGCAUGGCUGUCGUCAGCUCGUGUCGUGAGAUGUUGGGUUAAGUCCCGCAACGAGCGCAACCCACGUCGUUAGUUGCCAGCAUUCAGUUGGGCACUCUAGCGAGACCGCCGGUGAUAAACCGGAGGAAGGUGUGGAUGACGUCAAGUCAUCAUGCCCCUUACAUCCUGGGCUACACACGUACUACAAUGCUACGGACAAAGGGUUGCAAGCUCGCGAGAGUUAGCUAAUCCCAUAAACCGUGGCUCAGUUCAGAUCGUAGGCUGCAACUCGCCUACGUGAAGGAGGAAUCGCUAGUAAUCGCAGGUCAGCAUACUGCGGUGAAUACGUUCCCGGGCCUUGUACACACCGCCCGUCACACCAUGGAAGUGGCCACGCCCG
RNAcentral lists this ribosomal RNA (396 nucleotides) under uncultured Synechococcus sp. RNAcentral describes it as "bacterial SSU rRNA". It matches the Rfam family "Bacterial small subunit ribosomal RNA", at positions 1025 to 1422 of the family's 1533-position model. The record is from RNAcentral. Lineage: Bacteria; Bacillati; Cyanobacteriota; Cyanophyceae; Synechococcales; Synechococcaceae.